AUGGCCGACGGGAUUCUGGACGACCUCCUCCUCGACAUCUUCGCGCUCCUGCCGGACCCCGUCGACCUCCUCCACUGCGCCGGCACGUGCAGACGGUGGCUCCGGCUCCUCGGCAACGACCGGGCCAUCCUCCGACGAGCCGCCCUCCUGCCGGAGAACGAGGACGCGCGGCACGCCUCCUUCGUUCUCGGGGCUUUCUACCAGAACUUCUUUCCCCCUUGCCGUGAUGUGUGGAUCAAAUUGGACGUGGAGUUAAUUGCGGAUGGCAUGGAGGCGGAUGACCGCGUGAGCACGAUCUGCUUGUGCUUCUUCUUCGGUCCGACCGAGCGGACCGGUCUUUAACCGGACCGGACCGAAGAUUUUUCGGUCCAUAUUUCACAGACCGGACCGGGUGUUUUUUCGAGCGGGCCAGGACCGAGCUGGGCGGGACCGAGCGGGCCACGAGCGGGCCAAAAAGCCCGCUCGUGUCGUCCACCCUGAGGCUCCACCUCCAUCAUCCCCAACGCCGAUGGGCUCUUCAACCACGCCAAGCCCCUGGCGUCGCGCGGCGGGCUCCUCCUCGUGCGCCUCUUACCUGCCCCGCUCGACUUCGGGAAGCUCCACCUGGCGGUGUGCCACCCUCUCGUCGGCCACGUGCACGUCCUCCCGCCGCCGGCCGUGGACCUGGACCACGACCGCCUGGGGGGAGACGUUACGGGGUACGCGCUUCUCACCGGCGCAGAUCACCACGGGCACGGGCACGGACCGGCGACGGCUUUCCGUGUGCUCUUCACCGCCAAAAACCCAAGCGACGACCAGCUCGUGCCCGCCUACGCGUACUCCUCCGCCUCGUGCAGCUGGAGCGCGCCCAUCGAGUGCCCAGACGUCGGCGGCCUCACCAUGUCAGGGCCGCCCGACGGCGUCGUGGACGGCUGUGGCACCGUGCACUGGCUAUACACGGACCACGCAUGGUACUACACCCUCGACGUGAGUGCCGACGCGGCGCGUGUCUCCCUGACCAAGCUACCCAUACCAGUCAGCUCUGGUUGGGAAGGACCACCGUUCCUGUGCACCGCCGGACGAGGAAAAGCACUCUCGUUCGUCAACAGCAUAGACUAUGGCAGGAUGCUCGAGCUUUGGACCAAGCGGGAGCAAGACGACGACGACGAUCAUGGUGAAGAGAGCUCCGAAGGCUGGCUGCGCUGCAUGCUGACCACGCCCCAGGGCCAAGGGCCGGAGGCAUCGGAAUAUUUUGGGAUCCUCGGCUUCGCAGAGAGCAGAGGUGCGAUUCUCGUCCAUGGUGAUGUCGGCUUCUUAUGUCUUGACCUCGAGAGCACGGCGCUGGAGGAGAUCAGGGGAAGAGAGAGUAGCAACAGUGGCGUGGACUGGUAUCCGGGGGAGCUCAGCAUUAGGUUCUGGUGUACGUACAACCACCUUGUGUUUUAUGACAUGGACUGGUCAUCGUACAUUCUCCACCUCCUCUAUGGAAGCCUAGAAUGUACAACAAUGAGGUGA
RNAcentral lists this ribosomal RNA (1494 nucleotides) under Triticum aestivum (bread wheat). RNAcentral describes it as "partial small subunit ribosomal RNA". Lineage: Eukaryota; Viridiplantae; Streptophyta; Magnoliopsida; Poales; Poaceae. The record is from RNAcentral.